This 1129-nucleotide long non-coding RNA is filed under the name Homo sapiens (human). Its description in RNAcentral is "nuclear factor, erythroid 4". Lineage: Eukaryota; Metazoa; Chordata; Mammalia; Primates; Hominidae. The record is from RNAcentral.
GACGCCAUUUUAGGCCUUAGCCUGCCUGCACCCAGGCGCUCAUUAAAACAGCAGGUUGCUCCACACUGCCUCGUGUUGUCUGUUGGCACACUCUCAAGAGUUUGAACGGAUACAAGAAUCUUUCAUCUGGUGCCGAAACCCGGGAGGGGCUCCGGUCUUCGUCCCCCGUGGACCUACCCCUCCGCCCCAGAAAGCAGGCCACAGCAGCCGGACAAAGGAAGCUCCUCAGCCUCCAGUUGCUUCUCUGUGCAUGCACAUCAGUCACUGAUCUCACCUACUGGAUGCCAGAAGAAAUGGGAAGACAUUAAGGUUUAUGUGCUAAUAUUUGAGUCCUUUCAUGGCAUUUACAUGGCAGAGCCAAAAGCAGAAGUUGACAACCAUCAGAAGCCAAACCAGCCCCACAAAAUACCUAGCCUUCAAGAGAGAAAUUGGACCAAUCUAUGAAAAAUGUUGCUGGGAGUGAAGAUGGAAUGAGAAGAACAGAGAAACAAUGACAGAGUCCUUACAAACACCAUGAUACAAGAAGGCAAUGGGGAUAUGUUAUCCUAAAGGAAUCCUAAAAGAAGUGAUCAAAAAGGUGAACAGAAAACCAAGUGGGAGUACUGUCACUGAGGAUGAGUUUCCAGAGAGAAUUAAUGCUGAAGAAGCUAUUGCAGACACUGCUGAGUAUGAAGAACUAAUUGGAGAAGGAAGCCGUUGUAUAGCAGAUGCAGAGCAGCAGCAAAAAUGGUAAUGAAAAUAGAAGAUAAAUUAGAAAAUUUGGAAAAACCCAAACAGAUCAGCCAUAUUGAAGGGAAAAAGAAAAACAAAACAAAGUGGGAGGGCAGAAAUGUAGAACGGUAUACACUCUUUUAACCCCAAGGAUGAAUGUAGCCAAGAACACAGUGGGGACUUAGGAGUCUCAGCACAGAGCAUUCUCUACUCCCUACUGCUCAGGCAAAGAACUCCUUCAUCAUGCAGAACCAAAACUGGUGUAGAGUCUUAAAUGACCUGGGUAUCUCUACGCAGAAGAAAGCGCUUUCCAUGUAAAAGGAUUAACUUGAACCUGGGUGCUCAAGGGACACCCUAGGCUGCUUAUCCCACUGAUUCUGAUCUGACUGUGUUAAGUAAUAAAUCAUGUGGUUACAUA